AACGAACGCUGGCGGCAUGCCUAACACAUGCAAGUCGAACGAGACCUUCGGGUCUAGUGGCGCACGGGUGCGUAACGCGUGGGAACCUGCCCUUAGGUUCGGAAUAACUCCCCGAAAGGGGUGCUAAUACCGGAUAAUGUCUUCGGACCAAAGAUUUAUCGCCUUUGGAUGGGCCCGCGUUGGAUUAGCUAGUUGGUAGGGUAAAAGCCUACCAAGGCGACGAUCCAGAGCUGGUCUGAGAGGAUGAUCAGCCGCGCUGGGACUGAGACACGGCCCAGACUCGUACGGGAGGCAGCAGUGGGGAGUAUUGGACAAGGGGCGAAAGCCUGAUCCAGCAGUGCGGCGUGAGUGAUGAAGGCCUUAGUGUUGUAAAGCUCUUUUACCCGGGAUGAUAAUGACAGUACCGGGAGAAUAAGCUCCGGCUAACUCCGUG
This 433-nucleotide ribosomal RNA is filed under the name uncultured bacterium. RNAcentral describes it as "partial 16S ribosomal RNA". It matches the Rfam family "Bacterial small subunit ribosomal RNA", at positions 29 to 507 of the family's 1533-position model. The record is from RNAcentral.